Oryzias latipes (Japanese medaka) is the source of this 4356-nucleotide long non-coding RNA. RefSeq lists it as uncharacterized. Lineage: Eukaryota; Metazoa; Chordata; Actinopteri; Beloniformes; Adrianichthyidae. The record is from RefSeq and is a predicted model, not a curated record.
AAGAAAAACAUCAUCAAACUCUGAAAGUGCAGCAGAAUCCAUGAAAACCUGAAUGUGGUUCAGAUCUGUGUGAAAAGAUCUUCUGACAAAACGUCACGGCCUCACACGCACAACCUGAAGGUCAGCGAGGGAUAAAAGGUCAUAGAAAUGGAGGCGGGGGCUUUAAAGGCAUUGUAGAAGCGACUCACAAAUAAAACAGCGGCAAAUCAAAUAAACUGUUCUGGAUUCAUCCGAUGAGCCAAAAACCUGCAGCUAUCGGGGAGGAACGAGGUUUUCCUCACAGCUGACCCACUGACCCACUUUCUAUUCCAGCUCACUGCCAUUCCCUACAGGAACCCAGAAAACAGAAACCCUGAAAAAGAAGUGAAAGGCAGGGAGGUGGACAAAGCAAAGCCUUAGCAGAAGAGUGUGUGUGUGUGUAUUGUGAGGGGGGGGGUACAGACUGACUGACUGAUGUUAGCAUUCCUUAAGGCCUGACUCAGCAGAUCCCAGAGAGCCCAGCUUCCUGCUAAAAACCAUUAAGGACUGGUUCAUUCUGCCAAGACCGAAUUGUACAUCCAGCUUAACAGAAGAACUUAAGGAAUGCUCCUUAAAAGAUGCAACAUUUAUCGCAUUCGAUUUAGUUGGAAGCUAAAAUUAUUAUGAAUAAAACUCAUUUAUUAGAGCAGUAUUUAAGAGUAGAAUGGUUCAAACCAGAGCAGUAACAAAUCAGAAACACAAGUUCUGUUUGAAGGACUUGGUUUUCAUUAAAGAACGUUUCAUCUCCGCUUGUGGAACGCUCCAGGCAGAGGAGGAAGCAGAACCUGAGGGAACAAACCAAUGAGGAGAGGGGGGGGGGGGGGUCACCUGCUCAUGCAAUGCCAGCACACAGCAACACCAGAGCAGAGCUGCAGCUAAAAAUAAACUGCACAGAAGCAGAAAAGGAGCCACGCUCUUCGUCUCAGUCGCUGCUCACAUCUAAGCAGGUUUGGAGAAAACGUUUCACACAAAGAUUGAUCCAUUACCGCUGGUACUUUCUAUUUCUACCCAGUACUACAUAUUCAAUAAUACUUUCUACUACAAACUUGUCAGCAGUUUAUUUCUUCCUCUUUUAUUUCCAUAUUUAAAUGUAUAUUUUCUUGCUGUCAUGUAAAGUGGGACAUGCAAAAAAGAACUAGUUUGUGGCCUGAGUUGAGCUGAGAGAACAUCAUAACAUAGCUGUUAUAAUUCUGAAGCACUAACCCGUCUAACCCGCCUAAAUCACCUUCAGGUGACCAACUGGCUGAUAGACAUACAGAGCACUCGUCUGAUGGACUUUUGGAGAUUUGAGAGACUAAAGUAAAACUACAUCCUGUCACCAAAAAUACUUUUUUUCUUUUUUUAAAUGUCUGGCCUCCAUGACAUCCACAUCUGAAACCACGGACAAAAAAAUGCACCCCACCCCAGAGGAAGCCCACAUGGAAGCAAUUAUGGACGCGCAGAUGUGGAGAUCCAGGGAACAAAAGAAAGAACUGAAAGACAACCGAACCUGAAGGGAAUCCGUAAAACAGUUUGUCUCUAUCAUCAUGUGUCAUGGUCUGAAGACAGCAUUUUUAAAUCAACACUCAAACAGUGGUGUGUUCACUUGCUCUGGGUCUAAAUAAAUCUACAGGGGAUUGGUUCUUCUGAUACCAGCAGGGAGCUUAGGACCCAACCUGCAGGAGACCAGGCUUGGUGGCAGAAACUCAAACUUUUAAUAAAUAAUCCUUCAACAUGGCAAAAACCGUGGACAAACAAAACAGCAGAACUGAAAACCAGAUGCUUAUGUACUCCCGGGACAAAUAACAGAAAUGAAAAUAAUUGUAGAAGGAAAGAAACAUAAACCUGGAGAGACUAACAGUGAACAGCUCAGAACAUGACCAAAACCACCACUUCAAAACCAAAUAAACCACAGAAUCCUCACAAAAACAGGAGAAUAAAUGAAAGAUUCUUUGUUUUCCAUAAAAAAGCAAUGGUUGCAAUAGUGCAGAAUCAGAUCCUCUUCACUGGAGGGUCCAACAUGUGGAUAGCAGAGAAAAGACAGGAGUCUUCACUGUAAAGAGAAGAGGAGCAUUAUGGGAAUAGGCUCCACAUUUGAACCACUAACCCUUACCUAACAAUGUCUUAUCACUAACCCAAUUGUUUUACUACUUACUGUAACCACUGUUUAUUACUAACCCUAACAAGGUUUUACCACUAACCCUAAACACAUUUUACAUUUGACAGACUGACUAACAGCUGUUUAUUUCCCCUCUAGAACUCUAUGAAAUUUUGGCUUCUUGGAACCAGCGGGUACUUCCUGUUUGGAAUGCCAGGGGGAGGGGCCACUCUCCCCAGUUCUAAUAGACAGUCAAUGGUUAAGACACAAUGCACUAUACAGUCACACCCUUCUUCUCUCUCUCUCUCUCUCUCUCUCACAUACACACACAAAUACACACACACACACUUGUGGGGUUUACUGUCUUGCCCAAGGACUCUUCAGCGCAUGGGUGGGCAAAGCAGAACUGAACUUAGACCCUCAAAUCAGAGGUCGGCCGCUCUACCUCUGCACCACAGCUACACUGUUGAACAAAAAAACUAGAAAACAGAGCAAUCAUACAAGUAGAGACGGUUAAUUCCUGACAUACUGGUUUAUCUGCAAAACAGGAAAGCUGACGUCUGAACGAGAGAAACCCGAGCCUGAACCACGGGGGUGGAGAGGAGAAUCCAAAGAAAACCCACUCAGACCUUCUCAGAAGUUCACCCUCUUUCAGUCAACGCUGACUGUCACCACAAAUGAGAAGCCUUCUUUAAAUAACUCUAUAGAUCACAGAACGUCAACCACUUCCCUUUCCGUCAGUCAGCAGAUGAGUCGACAGCUAGCAGACGGCGACAGCUCCAUGAAAACAUUUCAAGUCCUUCAGACACAUCUCUGACUGUCAGUGAAGAAAACGGAAGGGGGAGAGGGGCAUCUACCAGGGGGGCCUCCUUCACUUCAGUCAUGUGACCCACAGGAGAGCAAAGGGAACCAGGAGCCUUCUUUUUACAGAAGAUCCAUGACAUUCACAGCUUCGUUCAUGACCCAUGAGGAUGAUAAUGAUGAACCGUUUCCUCUUCGCUCUGUCUCUCAGACAGGAACAGGUCUCAGGCGUCAUAUUGCUGGUUCGAAUUUUGGUUUUAGGACGAUCCUUCAGAAAUGCUCCACAGCGGAAAGUCACGUGACUACGACAGGAGACGCUGGAUUCCCCCAAACAGAGAUUAACGCCACGUUUAUCUAAAGGUCCCGGGCUGCUGGAGCCUAUCCUGGCCACUUGUGGGCGACAUGAAGAAAACCGAUCGGCCUCUAACAUCUCCAGAAAAGUUUCCCUCCAGCUUCACUCAAAUGUUGCUUUUUAAAUGCAAAACAGACAGAAGCUGUAAAACGACGGCAGCAUCCAACAGCCCCAAAGCAGAUGAAGCUUCUGCCUCAGAUGAUCACUGGAACCUUCUCCACCAUCAGUCUGAACCAAACAGACCUCCUCCCUGCAGCAGCAGAGGAACUCCUGACCUCUGCUGUGGGUAAACAUGUCAGUUGGGGGGGGGGGGGGGGGCAGUUCACCACAAUGAACUUGUUGACCCCCCCCCUACGUUCUGAGGCCCAUGGAGCUUUAGCACAGCGCCAUCAAGCCAGCUGAAAUCAGCUCUGUGUAGGAUCUUCCUCAAGGCUGCCUCCCACCACAACGCCAAAGCCUCUGUUGGAUCCACAUUACAGAGGAAGACACACCCGUAUAUCAUAAAACAGAAAAAAAAACAGCUGCCAGUCAGACAACACAUGCAUAUUCUGACCAACAUGACAUCCAGAGAGGUUCAGGAACAUCCAGAGAGGUGGAGGUUUGCUCUGGAGAGGAAUGAAGAGCACCUGCUGCAGGACAGACUGUUUAUGAAUGAGAGGAAGUGAAGAGGAUCGGCAAGGUCACAGGGAGCAGAGGUGGAGGACUUUAAAUUGUUAGGAUCAACAGCCCAGGAUAACAAGAGUGUGGUAAAGAGAAGAGGCUAGCAGGUUCCAACAGGUGGAGGAAGGUUCCAGGAGAACCAAGGUCGGUGAGAGUGAGAAAGGUACAGAGGAGGUGAAUGAUCUGCCGUAGCUCCCCCUAAAUGGAGUAGCUUUUGGGCACAGGAUGCUGAAAUUGUGUCUUAUUGAGAGAUGUUGGAAUCUUUGUCUUCAUCCACAUCAAAAAGGAUUCCUGAGCAGCAGAACAAACGUUCCUUCAAAGUGAGGAUCUGCUGCCACCAAGAGGCCGUAACUGUUACUACAGCUUGUACUGAUGCUGAAAAAUGUCUCGAGAUUGAGUUCUAAAUUAAAGUCUAAAAGGGUAAAAAAAAAUAAACACAUAAAACUGG